GAUGAAGAACGUAGCGAAAUGCGAUAAGUAGUGUGAAUUGCAGAAUUCAGUGAAUCAUCGAAUCUUUGAACGCACAUUGCGCCCCUUGGUAUUCCAUGGGGCAUGCCUGUUCGAGCGUCAUUUGUACCUUCAAGCUCUGCUUGGUGUUGGGUGUUUGUCUCGCCUCUGCGUGUAGACUCGCCUCAAAACAAUUGGCAGCCAGUGUAUUGGUCUUGAAGCGCAGCACAUUUUGCGAUUCUUGCUGAUACUCACUAGCAUCCAGUAAGCCUCUUUAACACUUUUGACCUCGGAUCAGGUAGGGAUACCCGCUGAACUUAAGCAUAUCAAUAAGCGGAGGA
RNAcentral lists this unclassified non-coding RNA (338 nucleotides) under soil metagenome. Its description in RNAcentral is "partial contains 5.8S ribosomal RNA, internal transcribed spacer 2, and large subunit ribosomal RNA". The stretch from base 1 to 120 matches the Rfam family "5.8S ribosomal RNA", at positions 35 to 154 of the family's 154-position model. The record is from RNAcentral.